RNAcentral lists this ribosomal RNA (468 nucleotides) under uncultured bacterium. Its description in RNAcentral is "partial 16S ribosomal RNA". It matches the Rfam family "Bacterial small subunit ribosomal RNA", at positions 28 to 507 of the family's 1533-position model. The record is from RNAcentral.
GACGAACGCUGGCGGCGUGCUUAACACAUGCAAGUCGAACGGAAAGGCCCUGCUUUUGUGGGGUGCUCGAGUGGCGAACGGGUGAGUAACACGUGAGUAACCUGCUCUUGACUUUGGGAUAACUUCAGGAAACUGGGGCUAAUACCGGAUAGGAUCUCCUGCUGCAUGGUGGGCGUUGGAAAGUUUCGGCUGUUGGGGAUGGACUCGCGGCUUAUCAGCUUGUUGGUGGGGUAGUGGCUUACCAAGGCUUUGACGGGUAGCCGGCCUGAGAGCGUGACCGGCCACAUUGGGACUGAGAUACGGCGCAGUCUCCUACGGGAGGCAGCAGGCGGGAAUAUUGCACAAUGGGCGGGAGUCUGAGACAGCAACGCCGCGUGCGGAAUGACGGCCUUCGGGUUGUAAACCGCUUUCGCCUGUGACGAAGCGUUAGUGACGGUAAUGAGUAAAGAAGCACCGGCUAACUACGUG